AUUGAACGCUGGCGGCAGGCCUAACACAUGCAAGUCGAGCGGAUGAAGGGAGCUUGCUCCUUGAUUCAGCGGCGGACGGGUGAGUAAUGCCUAGGAAUNUGCCUGGUAGUGGGGGACAACGUUUCGAAAGGAACGCUAAUACCGCAUACGUCCUACGGGAGAAAGUGGGGGAUCUUCGGACCUCACGCUAUCAGAUGAGCCUAGGUCGGAUUAGCUAGUUGGUGGGGUAAAGGCCUACCAAGGCGACGAUCCGUAACUGGUCUGAGAGGAUGAUCAGUCACACUGGAACUGAGACACGGUCCAGACUCCUACGGGAGGCAGCAGUGGGGAAUAUUGGACAAUGGGCGAAAGCCUGAUCCAGCCAUGCCGCGUGUGUGAAGAAGGUCUUCGGAUUGUAAAGCACUUUAAGUUGGGAGGAAGGGCAGUAAGUUAAUACCUUGCUGUUUAGACGUACCG
This 456-nucleotide ribosomal RNA is filed under the name Pseudomonas panipatensis. RNAcentral's name for it is "bacterial SSU rRNA". It matches the Rfam family "Bacterial small subunit ribosomal RNA", at positions 30 to 480 of the family's 1533-position model. The record is from RNAcentral. Lineage: Bacteria; Pseudomonadati; Pseudomonadota; Gammaproteobacteria; Pseudomonadales; Pseudomonadaceae.